GUGCCACUGCACUCCAGCCUGGGUGACAGAGCAAGACUCCAUCUCAAAAAGAAAAAAAAAGUCUGUUAAAAUAAAGGUCAUCAAAAGAUCUUUUCCUAAACCUUUCCUUUACCAGAAAUAUCUCUAGAGUCACAUGGUCCUUUCUCCCUUCUUGCUUUUGUAGGAGUCCAAAGCUAAUCUGUCCCUGAUCCGGAUUGCAGGCACCUGUGCCUUUUGGGGCCCUUCUGCAUUAGUUCUUCCUUCUCUUCUAACCUCAAAAAUGUGUUUUCUCUGUUGGCUCUUUCCCUUUAACAUAGAAGUAUACUCACGCUUUUGUUGAAUCUUGGAAUAAAAGUCUUCCUUUACCACAUAUCUCCCUUUAAUACUACAUCUCUCUUCUCAGCCAAAUACUUGGGAAGAGAAGCCCUGAGUUUGUGUCAUUGUUUUCUCACCUCCAGUUCACUACUUUACCCACUGCCUGACAUCCAGCUCGCUCACACACACACACACAAGCCCAGUCACUAAGUUGCCAUAGCUAAUUUGUAGCUUUCCUGCCCUCCUGGCAAAAUUUGACUCUGCAUUGGGAUAAUACAUGUUGAGUACCUAUUGAACAGGCACUGUGCUAGGUGCUGCUGUUAUAGAUAUGAAAAGAAGGCAUCAUCUCCUUUCUAACAACUCACAGGAGCAGCCAUUCCUGAUUCAUAUGCAGGUCUCUUGAGUCUCAUUGCUCACUUUUGCAAGCUUCACUUAAUGCCGUGCAAAUCACCCUAUUCUCCAGGUCUUCUUUCUUCCCAGUUCUCCUUACUAUACACAACUUCUCAGGGCAGUCACCUCCACACCCAUGGCUUCAAUUGCUUUCUCCAUUCUCUGAGAACAAUAGAAUUUUAAAUGGCUUUUUUUUCAUGUAUUAGCUUUAUUUUAUA
Molecule: long non-coding RNA, 902 nt
Filed under: Homo sapiens (human)
Lineage: Eukaryota; Metazoa; Chordata; Mammalia; Primates; Hominidae
Description: HSALNT0162613
Source: RNAcentral